GGAAUCUUCCACAAUGGACGAAAGUCUGAUGGAGCAACGCCGCGUGAGUGAAGAAGGGUUUCGGCUCAUAAAACUCUGUUGUUAAAGAAGAACAUAUCUGAGAGUAACUGUUCAGGUAUUGACGGUAUUUAACCAGAAAGCCACAGCUAACUACGUGCCAC
Molecule: ribosomal RNA, 161 nt
Filed under: uncultured bacterium
Lineage: Bacteria
Description: partial 16S rRNA
Rfam family: Bacterial small subunit ribosomal RNA
Source: RNAcentral